CUGGUAUCUAAUGUAAGUUUGUAUACUUUUAUGAAUAUGCACCUUUAAAUUUACUGAUCUCCGCCGUAAGACCUAGGAUAUAUAAAGUAUGCAUGAUGCAAUGGCUAAUUAUAAUUAAAGACAAGUUAUUGAUAAUGAUAAGUAUGACAUGUUUAGGAAUAUAAAAACCGAAUUGUUGUUGCCUCUAUCUUAUUAUGUAUCUU
Molecule: long non-coding RNA, 203 nt
Filed under: Mytilus galloprovincialis (Mediterranean mussel)
Lineage: Eukaryota; Metazoa; Mollusca; Bivalvia; Mytilida; Mytilidae
Source: RNAcentral